RNAcentral lists this long non-coding RNA (290 nucleotides) under Ananas comosus (pineapple). RNAcentral describes it as "long non-coding RNA (ACOM_LNC001747)". Lineage: Eukaryota; Viridiplantae; Streptophyta; Magnoliopsida; Poales; Bromeliaceae. The record is from RNAcentral.
CAUAGCAAAUGUUAAAACCACAACAGGUUUUAUAAUAAUACAUUUAAUAUAUUUAUGUUUCUUAUAAAAAAUAUAUAUAAUUUUAAAAAAAUAAAAUUUUGAAAAAAAGAAUAACUAAUCAUUCCUUUUUUGUAUUGUAUGUCUAUAUAUAUAUCUUCUUCACUAAAAAUAUUCUUGUCAUUCACAUGAGAACCCAAUUCAUUUAGAUGUUUUAAAUCUGUUUAUACCUUUUUAAAUUUUGGACUCAUUGUGCCCACUUUUCAACUGCUUUAUUGCGGCUACUUUAGCGG